RNAcentral lists this non-coding RNA (27 nucleotides) under Mus musculus (house mouse). The record is from RNAcentral. Lineage: Eukaryota; Metazoa; Chordata; Mammalia; Rodentia; Muridae.
UGGCCUCGAACUCUUGACAGGUCCUCA